This 253-nucleotide ribosomal RNA is filed under the name uncultured bacterium. Its description in RNAcentral is "partial 16S ribosomal RNA". It matches the Rfam family "Bacterial small subunit ribosomal RNA", at positions 524 to 776 of the family's 1533-position model. The record is from RNAcentral.
UACGUAGGGGGCAAGCGUUGUCCGGAUUUAUUGGGCGUAAAGCGCGUGUAGGCGGCCAGGUAGGUCUGCUGUGAAAACUCGAGGCUCAACCUCGAGAUGUCAUCGGAAACCAUCUGGCUAGAGUCCGGAAGAGGAGAGUGGAAUUCCUGGUGUAGCGGUGAAAUGCGCAGAUAUCAGGAAGAACACCAAUGGCGAAAGCAGCUCUCUGGGACGGUACUGACGCUGAGACGCGAAAGCGUGGGGAGCGAACAGG